Molecule: ribosomal RNA, 602 nt
Filed under: Labeo sorex
Lineage: Eukaryota; Metazoa; Chordata; Actinopteri; Cypriniformes; Cyprinidae
Description: partial 16S large subunit ribosomal RNA
Rfam family: Bacterial large subunit ribosomal RNA
Source: RNAcentral
AAAAACAUCGCCUCCUGCAACACAGCCCUGUAUAGGAGGUCCAACCUGCCCAGUGACUACAAGUUCAACGGCCGCGGUAUUUUAACCGUGCAAAGGUAGCGCAAUCACUUGUCUUUUAAAUAAAGACCUGUAUGAAUGGUCAAACGAGGGCUUAACUGUCUCCCUUUUCCAGUCAGUGAAAUUGAUCUGCCCGUGCAGAAGCGGGCAUAAAAAUACAAGACGAGAAGACCCUUUGGAGCUUAAGGUACAAAACUCAAUCACGUCAAACAACUCAAUAAAAAGUAAUUAACCUUGUGAAGCAUGAGAUUUUACCUUCGGUUGGGGCGACCACGGAGGAAAACAAAGCCUCCAGGUGGACUGGGAAAUAUUCCUAAAACCAAGAGAGACAUCUCUAAGCCACAGAACAUCUGACCAAACAUGAUCCGGCCACCCAUAUAGCCGAUCAACGAACCAAGUUACCCUAGGGAUAACAGCGCAAUCCCCUCCCAGAGUCCAUAUCGACGAGGGGGUUUACGACCUCGAUGUUGGAUCAGGACAUCCUAAUGGUGCAGCCGCUAUUAAGGGUUCGUUUGUUCAACGAUUAAAGUCCUACGUGAUCUGAG